RNAcentral lists this small nucleolar RNA (94 nucleotides) under Oryza punctata. RNAcentral's name for it is "snoRNA snoZ256". It matches the Rfam family "Small nucleolar RNA Z256". From Rfam's summary of the family: Z256 is a member of the C/D class of snoRNA which contain the C (UGAUGA) and D (CUGA) box motifs. Most of the members of the box C/D family function in directing site-specific 2'-O-methylation of substrate RNAs. Lineage: Eukaryota; Viridiplantae; Streptophyta; Magnoliopsida; Poales; Poaceae. The record is from Rfam by way of RNAcentral.
ACCUCCCAAUCGUGCUAACACCGCCCACUCAGGCCUGGCUUGCUGGCCUCCACAAGUACUCCAUCAACAGCUAGGCCGAGCUCAAGGCUUAGUU